Molecule: ribosomal RNA, 1357 nt
Filed under: Coprophanaeus sp. BMNH679884
Lineage: Eukaryota; Metazoa; Arthropoda; Insecta; Coleoptera; Scarabaeidae
Description: 16S ribosomal RNA
Rfam family: Archaeal large subunit ribosomal RNA (bases 1085-1243)
Source: RNAcentral
GAAAUUGAAAAGUUUAUUUUUAUAAGUUAAUUUAUUUUUAUAUUUAAAAAAAAUAUUUUUAUAUUUAUUUAUUAAUUUAGAUAAAAUUUUUAUGAAUUAUAGUUAAUCAGUAAAGUGAUUGAAUGAUUGAAAUAUUAUGAAAAUUAAAAUUUUUUAAAGAAAAAUUAAUUUUUUGUACCUUGGGUAUCAGGGUUUAUUAAAUAAUAAUUAUAAAAUUUAAUUUUCUCGAAUUUAAAAGAGCUAAGAAAUUAUAAAUUUUAUUGUAGUAUAAAUAUUUAAAAUAAUUUUUUAGUAAUGAAACGUUAUUCGUUUUUAAAUUUAUCUAGUUUUUUAAGAAAUAAAUUUAAUUUAGUUAAUUAUUAUAAUUAAGAUAAUUUAUUAUUUAUAUUAAUAUAAUUAAUUAAUAUUUUAAGGGAUAAGCUUUAAAAUAAAUUAUUAAAAAUAAUUUAAUUUAAUAUAUAAAAAUUAAUAGGAUUGGAAGUUUUUAUUAUUUAAAGGGUGUUAUAACGAAUUUUUAUAUAGAUUAGAUUUAUAUACAAUUUUAAAUUUUUUAUUAAAAUUAUUUAUUUAAUGUUAAAAUUUAUGUAAUAAUGAUAAAAUUAGUAUAAUAAAAUGUAUUAUUAAUUUGUAGAUUAAGGUUAAAUUAAGGAACUCGGCAAAUUAUUUUUCCGCCUGUUUAUUAAAAACAUGUCUUUUUGAUUAUAAUCUAAAGUCUGGCCUGCCCUAUGAAUAAGUUAUUUUUAAAUGGCUGCGGUACUCUGACCGUGCAAAGGUAGCAUAAUCAUUAGUUUUUUAAUUGGGAACUGGUAUGAAAGGUCGCACGAGAAAAAGACUGUCUCAAUUUAAUUUAAAUUAGAAUUUUAUUUUUAAGUAAGAAAGCUUAAAUAUUUUUAAAAGACGAGAAGACCCUAUAGAGUUUUAUAUAAUUUAGUAUAUUUGAAAGUUAAAGAAUUUUAGAUUUAAUUAUAUUAAAUUAUAUUUGGUUGGGGCAAUUAAAAAAUUAAAUGAAUUUUUUUUAAAUAAUAACAUUGAUAUAUGAUUGAGUGAUCCAUAAUUUAUGAUUAAAAGAUUAAAUUACCUUAGGGAUAACAGCGUAAUUUUUUUUAGAGUACUUAUCGAAAAAAGAGUUUGCGACCUCGAUGUUGGAUUAAAAUUUACUUUUGGCGCAGCAACUAAAAGGAUUAGGUCUGUUCGACCUUUAAAAUUUUACAUGAUCUGAGUUUAAACCGGUGUAAGCCAGGUUGGUUUCUAUCUUUAAAAAAUUAGAAUAUUUUUGUACGAAAGGACCAAAUAUUCGUAAUAAUUAUUAAGUUAAGAAUAUUAAUAAUUUAAAUAUUACUUUGGCAGAUUAGUGCUU